GGGCCCGCACAAGCAGCGGAGCAUGUGGUUUAAUUCGAAGCAACGCGAAGAACCUUACCUGGGCUUGACAUGUGCCUGACCGGCGUGGAAACACGUCUUCCCUUCGGGGCAGGUUCACAGGUGGUGCAUGGCUGUCGUCAGCUCGUGUCGUGAGAUGUUGGGUUAAGUCCCGCAACGAGCGCAACCCUCGUCGUAUGUUGCCAGCAUUUAGUUGGGGACUCAUACGAGACUGCCGGUGACAAACCGGAGGAAGGCGGGGAUGACGUCAAGUCAUCAUGCCCCUUAUGUCCAGGGCUACACACGUGCUACAUUGGCGUAUACAGAGGGCAGCGAUACCGCGAGGUGGAGCGAAUCCCAAAAAGUACGUCUCGGUUCGGAUUGUAGGCUGAAACCCGCCUACAUGAAGGUGGAGUUGCUAGUAAUCGUGGAUCAGCACGCCACGGUGAAUACGUUCCCGGGCCUU
Molecule: ribosomal RNA, 463 nt
Filed under: uncultured bacterium
Lineage: Bacteria
Description: bacterial SSU rRNA
Rfam family: Bacterial small subunit ribosomal RNA
Source: RNAcentral